RNAcentral lists this ribosomal RNA (254 nucleotides) under uncultured bacterium. RNAcentral's name for it is "partial 16S ribosomal RNA". It matches the Rfam family "Bacterial small subunit ribosomal RNA", at positions 524 to 777 of the family's 1533-position model. The record is from RNAcentral.
UACGAAGGGGGCUAGCGUUGUUCGGAAUCACUGGGCGUAAAGCGCACGUAGGCGGAUCUUUAAGUCAGAGGUGAAAUCCCAAGGCUCAACCUUGGAACUGCCUUUGAUACUGGGGAUCUUGAGUCCGGGAGAGGUGAGUGGAACUGCAAGUGUAGAGGUGAAAUUCGUAGAUAUUCGCAAGAACACCAGUGGCGAAGGCGACUCACUGGCCCGGUACUGACGCUGAGGUGCGAAAGCGUGGGGAGCAAACAGGG